GACGAACGCUGGCGGCGUGCUUAACACAUGCAAGUCGAACGGAAAGGCCCUGCUUUUGUGGGGUGCUCGAGUGGCGAACGGGUGAGUAACACGUGAGUAACCUGCCCUUGACUUUGGGAUAACUUCAGGAAACUGGGGCUAAUACCGGAUAGGAGCUCCUGCUGCAUGGUGGGGGUUGGAAAGUUUCGGCGGUUGGGGAUGGACUCGCGGCUUAUCAGCUUGUUGGUGGGGUAGUGGCUUACCAAGGCUUUGACGGGUAGCCGGCCUGAGAGGGUGACCGGCCACAUUGGGACUGAGAUACGGCCCAGAAUCCUACGGGAGGCAGCAGUGGGGAAUAUUGCACAAUGGGCGGAAGCCUGAUGCAGCAACGCCGCGUGCGGGAUGCCGGCCUUCGGGUUGUAAACCGCUUUCGCCUGUGACGAAGCGUGAGUGACGGUACUGGGUAAAGAAGCACCGGCUAACUACGUG
RNAcentral lists this ribosomal RNA (468 nucleotides) under uncultured bacterium. RNAcentral describes it as "partial 16S ribosomal RNA". It matches the Rfam family "Bacterial small subunit ribosomal RNA", at positions 28 to 507 of the family's 1533-position model. The record is from RNAcentral.